UGGGGAUGACGUCAAAUCAGCACGGCCCUUACGUCCAGGGCUACACACGUGCUACGAAUGGCCGGUACAAAGGGCAGCUACCUGGUGACAGGAUGCUAAUCUCAAAAGCCGGUCUCAGUUCGGAUCGGAGUCUGCAACCCGACUCCGUGAAGUUGGAAUCGCUAGUAAUCGUGGAUCAGCAUGCCACGGUGAAUACGUUCCCGGGCCUU
RNAcentral lists this ribosomal RNA (209 nucleotides) under uncultured Sphingobacteriales bacterium. Its description in RNAcentral is "partial 16S ribosomal RNA". It matches the Rfam family "Bacterial small subunit ribosomal RNA", at positions 1174 to 1382 of the family's 1533-position model. The record is from RNAcentral. Lineage: Bacteria; Pseudomonadati; Bacteroidota; Sphingobacteriia; Sphingobacteriales.